RNAcentral lists this ribosomal RNA (405 nucleotides) under uncultured bacterium. RNAcentral's name for it is "partial 16S ribosomal RNA". It matches the Rfam family "Bacterial small subunit ribosomal RNA", at positions 29 to 526 of the family's 1533-position model. The record is from RNAcentral.
AUUGAACGCUGGCGGCAGGCCUAACACAUGCAAGUCGAACGAGUGGCGGACGGGUGAGUAAUGUCUGGGAAACUGCCUGAUGGAGGGGGAUAACUACUGGAAACGGUAGCUAAUACCGCAUACAAUCGGAUAGGCCAAGAUGGGAUUAGCGAGUAGGUGGGGAAAGGGCUAACCUAGGCGACGAUCCCUAGCUGGUCGUAGAGGAUGACCAGCCACACGGGACCUGAGACACGGUCCAGCUUCUUACGGGGGGAAGAAGUGGGGAAUAUUGCACAAGGGGCGAAAGCCUGAUGAAGCCAUGCCGGGGGUAUGAAGAAGGCUUCGGGUUGGAAAGUACUUUCAGCGGGGAGGCGUUACCCGCAGAAGAAGCACCGGCUAACUCCGUGCCAGCAGCCGCGGUAAUUC